Molecule: ribosomal RNA, 466 nt
Filed under: uncultured bacterium
Lineage: Bacteria
Description: partial 16S ribosomal RNA
Rfam family: Bacterial small subunit ribosomal RNA
Source: RNAcentral
GAUGAACGCUGGCGGCGUGCUUAACACAUGCAAGUCGAACGAUGAAGCCCAGCUUGCUGGGUGGAUUAGUGGCGAACGGGUGAGUAACACGUGAGUAACCUGCCCUUAACUCUGGGAUAAGCCUGGGAAACUGGGUCUAAUACCGGAUAGGAGCGCCUACCGCAUGGUGGGUGUUGGAAAGAUUUAUCGGUUUUGGAUGGACUCGCGGCCUAUCAGCUUGUUGGUGAGGUAAUGGCUCACCAAGGCGACGACGGGUAGCCGGCCUGAGAGGGUGACCGGCCACACUGGGACUGAGACACGGCCCAGACUCCUACGGGAGGCAGCAGUGGGGAAUAUUGCACAAUGGGCGAAAGCCUGAUGCAGCGACGCCGCGUGAGGGAUGACGGCCUUCGGGUUGUAAACCUCUUUCAGUAGGGAAGAAGCGAAAGUGACGGUACCUUCAGAAGAAGCACCGGCUAACUACGUG